GACGAACGCUGGCGGCGUGCCUAAUACAUGCAAGUCGAGCGAAGUUUUUCUGGUGCUUGCACCGGAAAAACUUAGCGGCGAACGGGUGAGUAACACGUAAAGAACCUGCCUUAUAGACUGGGACAACUAUUGGAAACGAUAGCUAAUACCGGAUAACAGCAUUAACUGCAUGGUUGAUGUUUGAAAGUUGGUUUUGCUAACACUAUGAGAUGGCUUUGCGGUGCAUUAGCUAGUUGGUGGGGUAAAGGCCUACCAAGGCGACGAUGCAUAGCCGACCUGAGAGGGUGAUCGGCCACACUGGGACUGAGACACGGCCCAGACUCCUACGGGAGGCAGCAGUAGGGAAUCUUCCGCAAUGGGCGAAAGCCUGACGGAGCAACGCCGCGUAAGUGAAGAAGGAUUUCGGUUCGUAAAGCUCUGUUGUUAGGGAAGAAUGAUUGUGUAGUAACUAUACACAGUAGAGACGGUACCUAACCAGAAAGCCACGGCUAACUACGUG
RNAcentral lists this ribosomal RNA (499 nucleotides) under uncultured bacterium. RNAcentral describes it as "partial 16S ribosomal RNA". It matches the Rfam family "Bacterial small subunit ribosomal RNA", at positions 28 to 507 of the family's 1533-position model. The record is from RNAcentral.